This is a non-coding RNA of Solanum lycopersicum (tomato), 359 nucleotides long. Lineage: Eukaryota; Viridiplantae; Streptophyta; Magnoliopsida; Solanales; Solanaceae. The record is from RefSeq and is a predicted model, not a curated record.
UUUAAACAGCUAAUGGCAGAUCUACUUUUUCUCUUUGAACUGGUAUAAUGGUUUAACUGUCAAGCACACGGAACUCCUCCAUGUGGAAUGGCAACCUACAAUGAUACACCAAGCAAUAAGUCUUUGAUGUGAGCUUACAAUGGUACUCACUAAUUGUACUGAUGAUUUGGAGAAAGACCUGUAUACAAACUGUAUAUCGAAAGAUGGAGAAUUCUACUGUAACACACUAUUCCUCUUCUUGCUCAUCGUGGUUGACCUAUCAUCUCUUCAGAAAAUGUAGUGGAAAUAAUCAUCGACAUAUUGAUAACAAUAUUACUUGAUGAAAACAGGAUAAGGUCUUGACAAACUGGAGGGGAAAA